ACUAGCAGUAAGAGUUUGAUCCUGGCNCAGGACGAACGCUGGCGGCGUGCUUAACACAUGCAAGUCGAGGGCAGGGAGCAAUCCCUGACCGGCGAACGGGUGCGUAACACGUGAGCGACCUGCCGAGGUGAGGGGGAUAGCCGGCCCAACGGCCGGGUAAUACCGCAUACGCUCGGAUCUCCGCAUGGGGGACCGAGGAAACCUCCGGGGCACUUCGAGGGGCUCGCGGCCUAUCAGCUAGUUGGCGGGGUAACGGCCCACCAAGGCGACGACGGGUAGCUGGUCUGAGAGGAUGGCCAGCCACAUUGGGACUGAGACACGGCCCAGACUCCUACGGGAGGCAGCAGUGGGGAAUCUUGCGCAAUGGGCGAAAGCCUGACGCAGCGACGCCGCGUGUGGGAUGACGGCCUUCGGGUUGUAAACCACUGUCGGGAGGGACGAAUGCGCCGCAAGGCGAGUGACGGUACCUCCAAAGGAAGCACCGGCUAACUCCGUGCCAGCCGCCGCGGUAAUC
This 514-nucleotide ribosomal RNA is filed under the name uncultured bacterium. RNAcentral describes it as "bacterial SSU rRNA". It matches the Rfam family "Bacterial small subunit ribosomal RNA", at positions 1 to 525 of the family's 1533-position model. The record is from RNAcentral.